UACAUGGGGUGCAAACGUUGCUCGGAAUUAUUGGGCGUAAAGCGCACGUAGGCGGUCCGUUAAGUCAGAUGUGAAAGCCCCCGGCUCAACCGUGGAAGUGCACUCGAAACUGCGUAGCUAGAGUCCUGGAGAGGAAGGUGGAAUGCUUGGUGUAGAGGUGAGAUUCGUAGAUAUCAAGCGGAACACCGGUGGCGAAGGCGGCCUUCUGGACAGUGACUGACGCUGAGACGCGAAAGCGUGGGGAGCGAACCGG
RNAcentral lists this ribosomal RNA (253 nucleotides) under uncultured bacterium. Its description in RNAcentral is "partial 16S ribosomal RNA". It matches the Rfam family "Bacterial small subunit ribosomal RNA", at positions 524 to 776 of the family's 1533-position model. The record is from RNAcentral.